RNAcentral lists this long non-coding RNA (1506 nucleotides) under Salmo salar (Atlantic salmon). RNAcentral describes it as "lncRNA (ENSSSAG00000108712.1)". The record is from RNAcentral. Lineage: Eukaryota; Metazoa; Chordata; Actinopteri; Salmoniformes; Salmonidae.
AUCACAUUGGUAUUUUAACAGUGUUAUUGUAAGAGUUUAAAUGUUUAAACAGAGGAUACAUCUAAAACAGGAUAAAACAAGUGCAGUAUGUUCUGAGAAUGUUACUGUUUGUCCAGUGUGUGUGUGUGUGUGUUUGUCCAGUGUGUGUGUGUGUGUGUUUGUCCAGUGUGUGUGUGUGUGUGUGUGUUUGUCCAGUGUGUGUGUGUGUGUGUGUUUGUCCAGUGUGUGUGUGUGUGUGUGUGUCCAGUGUGUGUGUGUGUGUGUGUGUGUGUCCAGUGUGUGUGUGUGUGUCCAGUGUGUGUGUGUGUGUGUCCAGUGUGUGUGUGUGUGUCCAGUGUGUGUGUGUGUGUGUCCAGUGUGUGUGUGUGUGUGUCCAGUGUGUGUGUGUUGUGUGUGUGUGUGUGUUUGUCUAGUGUGUGUGUCCAGUGUGUGUGUGUCUGUGUGUAUCCAGUGUUUGUGUGUGUGUGUCCAGUGUGUGUGUUUGUCCACUUUGUUUGUCCAGUGUGUGUGUGUGUGUGUGUCCAGUGUGUGUGUGUGUGUGUGUGUGUGUGUAUUUUUGUUUGACCAGUGUGUGUGUGUGUGUGUGUGUGUGUGUGUGUGUGUGUGUCCAGUGUGUGUGUGUGUGUGUGUGUGUGUGUGUGUGUCCAGUGUGUGUGUGUGUAUGUGUGUGAGUCUGUGUGUGUUUUCGUUUGUCCAGUGUGCGUGUGUCCAGAAUGUGUUUGUGUGUGUUUGUUCAGUGUGUGUGUUGAGUGUGUGUGUCCAUUUUGUGUCCAGUUUGUGUGUGUUCAGUGUGUGUUCAGUGUGUGUUCAGUGUGUGUGUGUGUGUGUGUGUGUGUGUGUCCAGUGUGUGUGUGUGUGUGUCCAGUGUGUGUGUGUGUGUGCCCAGUUUGUGUGUCCAGUGUGUGUGUUUGUGUGUGUUUGUGUGUGUGUGUUUGUGUGUGUCCAGUGUGUGUGUGUUUGUGUGUGUGUGUGUGUUUUUGUGUGUGUGUGUGUGUGUGUGUGUGUGUUUGUCCAGUGUGUGUGUGUGUGUGUUGUGUGUGUGUGUGUGUGUGUGUUUGUCCAGUGUGUGUGUGUGUGUGUGUUUGUCCAGUGUGUGUGUGUGUUUGUCCAGUGUGUGUGUGUGUGUGUGUGUGUUUGUCCAGUGUUUGUGUGUGUGUGUCCAGUGUGUGUGUGUGUGUGUCCAGUGUGUGUGUGUGUGUGUCCAAUGUGUGUGUGUGUUGUGUGUGUGUUUGUCCAGUGUGUGUGUGUGUUUGUCCAGUGUGUGUGUGUGUGUUGUGUGUGUGUGUGUGUUUGUCCAGUGUGUGUGUGUGUGUGUUUGUCCAGUGUGUGUGUGUGUGUGUGUUUGUCCAGUGUGUGUGUGUGUGUGUGUUUGUCCAGUGUGUGUGUGUGUGUGUGUGUGUGUCCAGUGUGUGUGUGUGUGUGUGUGUGUCCAGUGUGUGUGUGUGUGUGUGUCCAGUGUGUGUGUGUGUGUCCAGUGUGUGUGUGUGUGUCCAGUGUGUGUGUGUG